This 468-nucleotide ribosomal RNA is filed under the name uncultured bacterium. Its description in RNAcentral is "partial 16S ribosomal RNA". It matches the Rfam family "Bacterial small subunit ribosomal RNA", at positions 28 to 507 of the family's 1533-position model. The record is from RNAcentral.
GAUGAACGCUGGCGGCGUGCCUAACACAUGCAAGUCGAACGGAAAGGCCCUGCGUUUGUGGGGUGCUCGAGUGGCGAACGGGUGAGUAACACGUGAGUAACCUGCCCUUGACUUUGGGAUAACUUCAGGAAACUGGGGCUAAUACCGGAUAGGAGCUCCUGCUGCAUGGUGGGGGUUGGAAAGUUUCGGCGGUUGGGGAUGGACUCGCGGCUUAUCAGCUGGUUGGUGGGGUAGUGGCUUACCAAGGUUUUGACGGAUAGCCGGCAUGAGAGGGUGACCGGCCACAUUGGGACUGAGAUACGGCCCAGAAUCCUACGGGAGGCAGCGGUGGGGAAUAUUGCACAAUGGGCGGAAGCCUGAUGCAGCAACGCCGCGUGCGGGAUAACGGCCUUCGAGUUGUAAACCGCUUUCGCCUGUGACGAAGCGUGAGUGACGGUAAUGGGUAAGAAAGCACCGGCUAACUACGUG